AGAGUUUGAUCCUGGCUCAGAACGAACGUUAGCGGCGCGCCUAACACAUGCAAGUCGAACGCGACUGGGGGCAACUCCAGUUGAGUGGCGCACGGGUGAGUAACACGUAGGUAAUCUCCCCCCGAGUGGUGGAUAACCUUCCGAAAGGAGGACUAAUACAGCAUAAGACCACGGCUUCGAAAGGAGCUGAGGUCAAAGCGGAGGAUCGCAAGACUUCGCGCUUGGGGAUGAGCCUGCGGCCCAUCAGGUAGUUGGCGGAGUAAAAGCCCACCAAGCCUAAGACGGGUAGCUGGUCUGAGAGGAUGAUCAGCCACACUGGAACUGAGACACGGUCCAGACUCCUACGGGAGGCAGCAGUGGGGAAUCUUGCGCAAUGGACGAAAGUCUGACGCAGCGACGCCGCGUGGGUGAUGAAGGCCUUCGGGUUGUAAAGCCCUGUGGGGAGGGACGAAUAAGUUCCAGCUAAUACCUGGAGCGAUGACGGUACCUCCUUAGCAAGCACCGGCUAACUCUGUGCCAGCAGCCGCGGUA
Molecule: ribosomal RNA, 531 nt
Filed under: uncultured Pseudomonadota bacterium
Lineage: Bacteria; Pseudomonadati; Pseudomonadota
Description: bacterial SSU rRNA
Rfam family: Bacterial small subunit ribosomal RNA
Source: RNAcentral